GCGCGUUUCGUGUGGUGGUUUAUCGUUUACACCGAGAGGGUCGGCGGUUCGAGCCCGUCAUCGCCCACCA
Molecule: transfer RNA, 70 nt
Filed under: Sphingopyxis fribergensis
Lineage: Bacteria; Pseudomonadati; Pseudomonadota; Alphaproteobacteria; Sphingomonadales; Sphingopyxidaceae
Description: tRNA-Val
Source: RNAcentral